CCCAGACAGCCAGGAUGUUGGCUUAGAAGCAGCCAUCAUUUAAAGAAAGCGUAAUAGCUCACUGGUCGAGUCGGCCUGCGCGGAAGAUGUAACGGGGCUAAACCAUGCACCGAAGCUGCGGCAGCGACACUCAGGUGUUGUUGGGUAGGGGAGCGUUCUGUAAGCCUGUGAAGGUGUGUCGUGAGGCAUGCUGGAGGUAUCAGAAGUGCGAAUGCUGACAUAAGUAACGAUAAAGCGGGUGAAAAGCCCGCUCGCCGGAAGACCAAGGGUUCCUGUCCAACGUUAAUCGGGGCAGGGUGAGUCGACCCCUAAGGCGAGGCCGAAAGGCGUAGUCGAUGGGAAAC
This 344-nucleotide ribosomal RNA is filed under the name Salmonella enterica subsp. enterica serovar Thompson. Its description in RNAcentral is "bacterial LSU rRNA". It matches the Rfam family "Bacterial large subunit ribosomal RNA", at positions 1084 to 1426 of the family's 2925-position model. Lineage: Bacteria; Pseudomonadati; Pseudomonadota; Gammaproteobacteria; Enterobacterales; Enterobacteriaceae. The record is from RNAcentral.